This is a long non-coding RNA of Girardinichthys multiradiatus, 2548 nucleotides long. RefSeq lists it as uncharacterized. The transcript is spliced from 4 exons. NCBI's taxonomy places the organism in Eukaryota, Metazoa, Chordata, Actinopteri, Cyprinodontiformes, Goodeidae. The record is from RefSeq and is a predicted model, not a curated record.
AAGGCUGUUCGCUUGAAGGUAUGCUCUGAUUGGAGAGUAUGAAUGACGUAGAAAGGUAGCCUGCGUAGGAAGUUGAACUGUUCUCUGAUUCAACCGUUUUUGAGCAAAGGAACAAAGCUGACCGCCCAUGAGCAGAGCCUUUGAUACCCGCUCUUGAGAUUCACACGACCUCAUCAGUGCACAACAGAUCAUAUUAUACACCCAAAACCACAGAAAAAUGCAAUUUGUUGUCAUGAUCCCUUUAAUCUUGGUGGCCACUACAAACUCCUUGUUCUACAUGGGGUAGAGGUUUGGACUCUACUCAUCAACUUUUGGUUAUAUUUUUAAUUGAUUUCUUGUUAUUGCUUUUCAGAGUAAACAUCUAAAGAGGUUGGGAGGCGUUGAUGCUGCAGAUCUUGUCAAGAAGUCAAUGGCUGCGUAAGUAUCUUUGUUCCCUUUUUUGCAUUACAGUAUUGUGGUCCUGGUAAUAUGAACAACAAAAACUAUGUGAUCCAGUAGUUUUGAUAAGUUGAAAAAAAUGUAUGGAAAUGGAGUUAACUUGACAAAAUGUUCCCACACACACACCCUUACUUGCUCUUUGCUACAUUUUCAUAAUGAACUAAACUGCAUUAUAACAUUUUAAGAUAAAUCUGCUUUACCAUGGCAGAACUAUGACAAAUAAAAUGAUGGCCAAAAUGAGUCUCAGAGGAAGAAGUGGGAAGGUUGCCUUCGUGAAGACUCAAUUGUACAAGAUAGUAUGUGAAAGUGAAGCCGGCAAACACAGAACAAGAGUUUGAAGCUCUAGAGAUUCGCCUGGAGGACAAGAAUGAGGGAGCAGAACUGAGUAAACAUCUAAAGAGGUUGGGAGGCGUUGAUGCUGCAGAUCUUGUCAAGAAGUCAAUGGCUGCGUAAGUAUCUUUGUUCCCUUUUUUGCAUUACAGUAUUGUGGUCCUGGUAAUAUGAACAACAAAAACUAUGUGAUCCAGUAGUUUUGAUAAGUUGAAAAAAAUGUAUGGAAAUGGAGUUAACUUGACAAAAUGUUCCCACACACACACCCUUACUUGCUCUUUGCUACAUUUUCAUAAUGAACUAAACUGCAUUAUAACAUUUUAAGAUAAAUCUGCUUUACCAUGGCAGAACUAUGACAAAUAAAAUGAUGGCCAAAAUGAGUCUCAGAGGAAGAAGUGGGAAGGUUGCCUUCGUGAAGACUCAAUUGUACAAGAUAGUAUGUGAAAGUGAAGCCGGCAAAUACAGAACAAGAGUUUGAAGCUCUAGAGAUUCGCCUGGAGGACAAGAAUGAGGGAGCAGAACUGGUAAGAUUUAACCCUCAGGUGUUCUUGGGGUCAUAAUUGACUUGAAUUCACCCAUGUUCAGGAACAGUCUUCAGUAAAGUGUGCUAAACAUAGUCUCAAACUGGUGUUAUAAUCGAGUGGUACUUCCUCAUAAAUGAACUUCAGCCACUCUUCUCUGAUUCUCUCAUCCUUCCGGAGUAAGUGGAAACUUCCAUCUGUUUUUGAGCACCCUUGGACAACACUGCUACCCUUUUUAGUAGCCAUCCUCAGUAUAGUCAGACCUGCUAGCGCGACAUGCUACUCCAACUCAGCCUGUGUGUCAGCUGAGGGGAGGGGGGAAGGCUGUUCGCUUGAAGGUAUGCUCUGAUUGGAGAGUAUGAAUGACGUAGAAAGGUAGCCUGCGUAGAAAGUUGAACUGUUCUCUGAUUCAACCGUUUUUGAGCAAAGGAACAAAGCUGACCGCCCAUGAGCAGAGCCUUUGAUACCCGCUCUUGAGAUUCACACGACCUCAUCAGUGCACAACAGAUCAUAUUAUACACCCAAAACCACAGAAAAAUGCAAUUUGUUGUCAUGAUCUCUUUAAUCUUGGUGGCCACUACAAACUCCUUGUUCUACAUGGGGUAGAGGUUUGGACUCUACUUAUCAACUUUUGGUUAUAUUUUUAAUUGAUUUCUUGUUAUUGCUUUUCAGAGUAAACAUCUAAAGAGGUUGGGAGGCGUUGAUGCUGCAGAUCUUGUCAAGAAGUCAAUGGCUGCGUAAGUAUCUUUGUUCCCUUUUUUGCAUUACAGUAUUGUGGUCCUGGUAAUAUGAACAACAAAAACUAUGUGAUCCAGUAGUUUUGAUAAGUUGAAAAAAAUGUAUGGAAAUGGAGUUAACUUGACAAAAUGUUCCCACACACACACCCUUACUUGCUCUUUGCUACAUUUUCAUAAUGAACUAAACUGCAUUAUAACAUUUUAAGAUAAAUCUGCUUUACCAUGGCAGAACUAUGACAAAUAAAAUGAUGGCCAAAAUGAGUCUCAGAGGAAGAAGUGGGAAGGUUGCCUUCGUGAAGACUCAAUUGUACAAGAUAGUAUGUGGUGAGUUUUCUUUAACUUAGUAGUUUAGAAUGUAAAUUGUAUGAUGUAGUUUUGUUUUCUAUCUUGUGAAAAAUUCUCAGUCUUCUCUGUGAGAGCACAGACAAUACUGAGCCUCAUUUUGACUUGUUUCAAGGACAUUACAUCAAAGUUGGAUCAGCCUGUAGUGUUUUUCCACUUUAAUUUUGUGUGUGACUCCAA